GGAGUGGUAGUUCAGCUGGUUAGAAUACCUGCCUGUCACGCAGGGGGUUGCGGGUUCGAGUCCCGUCCAUUCCGCCA
This 77-nucleotide transfer RNA is filed under the name Haemophilus influenzae. RNAcentral describes it as "tRNA-Asp". It matches the Rfam family "tRNA". Rfam says of the family: Transfer RNA (tRNA) molecules are approximately 80 nucleotides in length. Their secondary structure includes four short double-helical elements and three loops (D, anti-codon, and T loops). Further hydrogen bonds mediate the characteristic L-shaped molecular structure. tRNAs have two regions of fundamental functional importance: the anti-codon, which is responsible for specific mRNA codon recognition, and the 3' end, to which the tRNAs corresponding amino acid is attached (by aminoacyl-tRNA synthetases). tRNAs cope with the degeneracy of the genetic code in two manners: having more than one tRNA (with a specific anti-codon) for a particular amino acid; and 'wobble' base-pairing, i.e. permitting non-standard base-pairing at the 3rd anti-codon position. The record is from RNAcentral. RNAcentral also lists the same sequence under 2 other names. Lineage: Bacteria; Pseudomonadati; Pseudomonadota; Gammaproteobacteria; Pasteurellales; Pasteurellaceae.